UGCAAGUCGAACGGUAACAUGAGAGCUUGCUCUUGAUGACGAGUGGCGCACGGGCGCGUAACGCGUAUGGAACUUACCCCAAACUGGAGAAUAGCCUUUAGAAAUGAAGAAUAAUACUCCAUAGUAUUCCGAGAAGGCAUCUUCUUGGUCUUAAAGCUUCGGCGGUUUGGGAUAGCCAUGCGUUCUAUUAGUUAGUUGGUGAGGUAACGGCUCACCAAGACCGCGAUAGAUAGGGGGCCUGAGAGGGUUAUCCCCCACACUGGUACUGAGACACGGACCAGACUCCUACGGGAGGCAGCAGUGAGGAAUAUUCCACAAUGGACGAAAGUCUGAUGGAGCCAUGCCGCGUGCAGGAUGAAUGCCCUAUGGGUUGUAAACUGCUUUUAUAUAGGAAGAACAUUUUCUACGUGUAGAGAACUGACGGUACUAUAAGAAUAAGGACCGGCUAACUCCGUGCCAGCAGCCGCGGUAAUACGGAGGGUCCAAGCGUUAUCCGGAUUCAUUGGGUUUAAAGGGUCCGUAGGCGGGAAAAUAAGUCAGUGGUGAAAGCCUACAGCUUAACUGUAGAACUGCCAUUGAAACUGUUUUUCUUGAAUUUAGAUGAAGUGGGCGGAAUAUAUCAUGUAGCGGUGAAAUGCAUAGAUAUGAUAUAGAACACCGAUUGCGAAGGCAGCUCACUAAACUAAUAUUGACGCUGAGGGACGAAAGCGUGGGGAGCGAACAGGAUUAGAUACCCUGGUAGUCCACGCCGUANACGAUGAUUACUCGGUGCUAGCGAUAUACUGUUAGUGCCUAAGCGAAAGCGAUAAGUAAUCCACCUGGGGAGUACGGUCGCAAGAUUGAAACUCAAAGGAAUUGACGGGGGCCCGCACAAGCGGUGGAGCAUGUGGUUUAAUUCGAUG
Molecule: ribosomal RNA, 902 nt
Filed under: uncultured marine bacterium
Lineage: Bacteria
Description: bacterial SSU rRNA
Rfam family: Bacterial small subunit ribosomal RNA
Source: RNAcentral